CAGCACAGGUAGCAAUACUGGGUGGCGACCGGCAAACGGGUGCGGAACACGUACGCAACCUUCCUUUAAGCGGGGAAUAGCCCAGGGAAACUUGGAUUAAUACCCCAUAAGAAUGUGGUGUGGCAUCACACAGCAUUUAAAGCUCCGGCACUUGAAGAUGGGCGUGCGGCUGAUUAGGUAGUUGGUGGGGUAACGGCCCACCAAGCCGACGAUCAGUAACUGGUGUGAGAGCACGACCAGUCACACGGGCACUGAGACACGGGCCCGACUCCUACGGGAGGCAGCAGUAAGGAAUAUUGGUCAAUGGACGCAAGUCUGAACCAGCCAUGCCGCGUGGAGGAUGAAGGCCCUCUGGGUUGUAAACUUCUUUUAUUGGGGAAGAAACCUGUUUUUUCUAAAGCAGUUGACGGUACCCAUUGAAUAAGCACCGGCUAACUCCGUGCCAGCAGCCGCGGUAAUACGGAGGGUGCAAGCGUUAUCCGGAUUCACUGGGUUUAAAGGGUGCGUAGGUGGGCAGGUAAGUCAGUGGUGAAAUCUCUAAGCUUAACUUAGAAACUGCCGUUGAUACUAUCUGUCUUGAAUGUAGUGGAGGUGAGCGGAAUAUGUCAUGUAGCGGUGAAAUGCUUAGAUAUGACAUAGAACACCCAUUGCGAAGGCAGCUCGCUACACUAUUAUUGACACUGAGGCACGAAAGCGUGGGGAUCAAACAGGAUUAGAUACCCUGGUAGUCCACGCCCUAAACGAUGGAUACUCGACAUCAGCGAUACACUGUUGGUGUCUGAGCGAAAGCAUUAAGUAUCCCACCUGGGAAGUACGA
Molecule: ribosomal RNA, 817 nt
Filed under: uncultured Sphingobacteriia bacterium
Lineage: Bacteria; Pseudomonadati; Bacteroidota; Sphingobacteriia
Description: bacterial SSU rRNA
Rfam family: Bacterial small subunit ribosomal RNA
Source: RNAcentral